Long non-coding RNA from Octopus bimaculoides (California two-spot octopus), 982 nucleotides. RefSeq lists it as uncharacterized. NCBI's taxonomy places the organism in Eukaryota, Metazoa, Mollusca, Cephalopoda, Octopoda, Octopodidae. The record is from RefSeq and is a predicted model, not a curated record.
UGUAUACGUUCGUACAUAAGAACGUAUGUAUGAACGUACGUACGUAUGUUUAUAUGUGAGUACGUAUGUAUACAUGUAGUAUAUAUAAAAAUAUAUUUAUCUUUCCGUGCGCGUUUGUUCAGCUAAAGGACCCGCAACUUCCAAACGAACAUUAGUGAGCAAAUAUGAAUUCAAAAUUCAAAGAAGUUAUCAUUAUCUUAAAAAAAAAAAAAAACUAUGAUAAAGUGGCUUAACAAACAUAUCCAUUUCGAAUUUAUAUUUGCUCACUAAUAUUCGUUUGGAAGUCGCGGGGCCUUCAGCUGAAAAAACGCGCACGGAAAGAUCAUACGCGGUGCCAGCAUUGUUGUGAAAAUCAGAGUCGAAAAAUCCUCUCAGAAAACCACCAAUCACUGGAAAAAUAAUAAGCGCAACACAAAUCGGGCUACGACCAAAGAAAUUAACUUACCAUCUCGGCAGAAAGCCGCAGAAUGAAGAAAUAGAUAUCUCUGGAUCAACUGAUUUCAAAUUUGGAGAGUUUGCCACUCUUAAUUCUCAUCAGCAGGUCUCACUAUAUACCUAGGAUUAAAAACUUUGCUCGAUUCGUUGUGCUUGGUAACCGUUGAAAAACUAGCACCAAAUUGAAACUUGGACUUGUUAUGAAAGGCAUUUUAAAUUGUUAGAACAAUUCCACCAAAAAUGCCUUCAUCGCAUCACCUAAAUUAAAGCAAUGAUUUUGAGGUAUCAAUUGAGAUGGUGUGGCCAUAUUGUUCGAAUAGUAGAUUAACGCAUGCCGAAGCAACUGUUUUAUGGUGAGCUUGCAGAGGGGAAACGCUAUCGAUGUAAACCUAAAAGAAAGUUUAAGGACGGCAUAAGGACUACUAUGAAGUAACUUGGAAUGGUUCCAGAAGAUAUAGAAACUCUCCUUUAUUUGAAUUCUUAAAAACAAAAUCCUGUGUAAGACAGAUCGGUAUUGUCAAUAAAUGCACAAAAACCGUUUUAAGGG